UCUGGGAGAAGGGAACUAGAA
Molecule: unclassified non-coding RNA, 21 nt
Filed under: Mus musculus (house mouse)
Lineage: Eukaryota; Metazoa; Chordata; Mammalia; Rodentia; Muridae
Description: oocyte_clustered_small_RNA4674
Source: RNAcentral